UUACACUUGAUAUAUAUGAGUAUUAAGG
Molecule: small RNA, 28 nt
Filed under: Bombyx mori (domestic silkworm)
Lineage: Eukaryota; Metazoa; Arthropoda; Insecta; Lepidoptera; Bombycidae
Description: ovarian small RNA-36428
Source: RNAcentral